AACGAACGCUGGCGGCAUGCCUAACACAUGCAAGUCGAACGAGACCUUCGGGUCUAGUGGCGCACGGGUGCGUAACGCGUGGGAACCUGCCCUUAGGUUCGGAAUAACUCCCCGAAAGGGGUGCUAAUACCGGAUAAUGUCUUCGGACCAAAGAUUUAUCGCCUUUGGAUGGGCCCGCGUUGGAUUAGCUAGUUGGUAGGGUAAAAGCCUACCAAGGCGACGAUCCAUAGCUGGUCUGAGAGGAUGAUCAGCCACACUGGGACUGAGACACGGCCCAGACUCCUACGGGAGGCAGCAGUGGGGAAUAUUGGACAAUGGGCGAAAGCCUGGUCCAGCAAUGCCGCGUGAGUGAUGAAGGCCUUAGGGUUGUAAAGCUCUUUUACCCGGGAUGAUAAUGACAGUACCGGGAGAAUAAGCUCCGGCUAACUCCGUG
Molecule: ribosomal RNA, 433 nt
Filed under: uncultured bacterium
Lineage: Bacteria
Description: partial 16S ribosomal RNA
Rfam family: Bacterial small subunit ribosomal RNA
Source: RNAcentral